This is a long non-coding RNA of Canis lupus familiaris (dog), 1144 nucleotides long. RefSeq lists it as uncharacterized. The record is from RefSeq and is a predicted model, not a curated record. Lineage: Eukaryota; Metazoa; Chordata; Mammalia; Carnivora; Canidae. The transcript has 4 exons.
AGGGUGUUCUCCUUGGAGCCUCUCCAGGAUCCUGGCGUCAUCCGCCGGGUCAGCUUUGCUUUGGAGACGGCCGAGGGAGGUUGUGAGUCCCGCUAGAUUCCUACCGGACCCGAGGACCUGGAGUGCCAUGAGUCAGGCCCUGGGCUAGACGACCCGCAUCCCUCAGACCCCCUGUCCCCCUCCACGGGAAGUUCCAGCAGGCCCAGGACCUUUCUGCCUUGCCCAGCUGGAUCCCCAGCAUCUGGCCCCGUUCCUGUCACAGAGAAGACCCCAGAGGUUGCAAAUAAACAUUUGCUGGGUGAAGAAAACAAAUCCUUACAUUUACAGAUAGUAAGAGCAGGGUCACACACCAUAUCCAUCACUGAAGAAGGACCACAGUCAAAACAUGACAUUUAUCAACCAGCUACUAUAUGCAAGGUCCUGGGUGCCAGCUCGUUUCAUGCCCUCUGCACAUCCUGGAGCAGAAUCACAGGUGUUGGAAAAGAAGUCUUUUGAGAGCACAAAGCAACAAGUGAUCCUGAGUCCAGUGACCUCAGGCAUGUGUGUGCCACACACCGGGGCAGUUAGAGGUGGUCCGGGGAGAUUCUCAGAGCCAAGGCCAAGAGUUUCAAGCUUUCUGAGGGUAUGGGUAAAUGGAGGCCCAGGAAGUCCCUUGCCUGAAAUUCUGAAGCCAGACAAUGAGGAAGGCUGCUGGGUUGGAAGAUGGGUCAGAUGAGCUCAUCAGCCCGGCUGUGACUACUGCCUCCUUUCGUUCUUCUUCGCUCGGAGCUGCGACAGCCUCUCCCCAGACUCACUCAGCUUCCCACCUCAGACCCUUUACACACACUGUUCACUCUGCCAGGAACUCUGUUCUCUCCCCUCUUUCCUGCCUCCUUCCUCCUCCUCCAGGCUCUCAGCCAGACCACCACUGUGACCCUCUGUUUUUUGGCCUCAUUUACACUAUAUUUUUCCUUCUUAGGAUUGUUCAAAAACUGUAAUUAAAUAAUUAUUUAUGGGGCCAUUUAUUAAAAGUCAGCCUCCCCACUAGAGAACCAGCCUCAGCAGGGAGGGCCUUGGUCCCUGAUCGUUGCCUCCCCUUCGGUUUUGGCACACAGUAGGCACACAAUCAAUAAACACAUGUUGAAUAAACAAAUGAACAAAGGAA